This 427-nucleotide ribosomal RNA is filed under the name uncultured bacterium. RNAcentral describes it as "partial 16S ribosomal RNA". It matches the Rfam family "Bacterial small subunit ribosomal RNA", at positions 355 to 774 of the family's 1533-position model. The record is from RNAcentral.
UGGGGAAUAUUGCACAAUGGGCGCAAGCCUGAUGCAGCCAUGCCGCGUGUGUGAAGAAGGCCUUCGGGUUGUAAAGCACUUUCAGCGAGGAGGAAGGGUAGUGUGUUAAUAGCACAUUGCAUUGACGUUACUCGCAGAAGAAGCACCGGCUAACUCCGUGCCAGCAGCCGCGGUAAUACGGAGGGUGCAAGCGUUAAUCGGAAUUACUGGGCGUAAAGCGCACGCAGGCGGUUUGUUAAGUAAGAUGUGAAAUCCCCGCGCUUAACGUGGGAACUGCAUUUGAAACUGGCAAGCUAGAGUCUUGUAGAGGGGGGUAGAAUUCCAGGUGUAGCGGUGAAAUGCGUAGAGAUCUGGAGGAAUACCGGUGGCGAAGGCGGCCCCCUGGACAUAGACUGACGCUCAGGUGCGAAAGCGUGGGGAGCAAACA